Molecule: long non-coding RNA, 381 nt
Organism: Ceratina calcarata
Lineage: Eukaryota; Metazoa; Arthropoda; Insecta; Hymenoptera; Apidae
Exons: 3
Source: RefSeq, a predicted model, not a curated record
AUGUCGGCUAGGAUUAUAUUUGACAUGUUAUUUAAUACAUUCUUGAGAAAUAAAAAGUUUUUCCGGGAACAUUUAUAAGUUUCUUAAUGAUAAUCUUUAGAUAUUAAGGAGGAAUUCUCAUACGAAUCUUUAAAGAUGUUUAAUUAAGGAGGGAAUGAUAAAUGUGGAAUGGUCGAUUAUAUUAUCUGGAAGGAGGCGACUUAUUGCAAAUAGAUGACUAAAUUUGGAAUGGCUUGAUUGAAGAUUUUAUUACAAAUAGUACAAGUGGUUUAAAAGACGAGAAAUGUAUCGGAGUUAAAUGAAAUAUUAGAAGGGCGAGGAAGAUGAGGAUAAGAGAAGGAGAAGGGGGUCUUUCGAAGGAUUUCUGGUGGAGAGGAGAGC